AUGUGGCAUACGGCUCAGUAACACGUAGUCAACAUGCCCAGGGGACGUGGAUAACCUCGGGAAACUGAGGAUAAACCGCGAUAGGUCAUUUCUUCUGGAAUGGGUAAUGACCCAAAUCUACAUGGCCCCUGGAUUGGACUGCGGCCGAUCAGGCUGUUGGUGAGGUAAUGGCCCACCAAACCUGUAACCGGUACGGGCUCUGAGAGGAGGAGCCCGGAGAUGGGCACUGAGACAAGGGCCCAGGCCCUAUGGGGCGCAGCAGGCGCGAAACCUCUGCAAUAGGCGAAAGCUUGACAGGGUUACUCUGAGUGAUUUCCGUUAAGGAGAUCCUUUGGCACCUCUAAAAAUGGUGCAGAAUAAGGGGUGGGCAAGUCUGGUGUCAGCCGCCGCGGUAAUACCAGCACCCCGAGUGGUCGGGACGUUUAUUGGGCCUAAAGCAUCCGUAGCCGGUUCUACAAGUCUUCCGUUAAAUCCACCUGCUUAACAGAUGGGCUGCGGAAGAUACUAUAGAGCUAGGAGGCGGGAGAGGCAAGCGGUACUCGAUGGGUAGGGGUAAAAUCCGUUGAUCCAUUGAAGACCACCAGUGGCGAAGGCGGCUUGCCAGAACGCGCUCGACGGUGAGGGAUGAAAGCUGGGGGAGCAAACCGGAUUAGAUACCCGGGUAGUCCCAGCUGUAAACGA
RNAcentral lists this ribosomal RNA (681 nucleotides) under uncultured Nitrososphaerota archaeon. RNAcentral describes it as "bacterial SSU rRNA". It matches the Rfam family "Archaeal small subunit ribosomal RNA", at positions 76 to 760 of the family's 1478-position model. The record is from RNAcentral. Lineage: Archaea; Thermoproteati; Nitrososphaerota.